GGGCGCAGCUGAUCCAGCCAUGCCGCGUGAGUGAAGAAGGCCUUCGGGUUGUAAAGCUCUUUCGGCCGGGAAGAAAUCGCACAGGCUAAUACUCUGUGUGGAUGACGGUACCGGCAUAAGAAGCACCGGCUAACUACGUGCCAGCAGCCGCGGUAAUACGUAGGGUGCGAGCGUUAAUCGGAAUUACUGGGCGUAAAGCGUGCGCAGGCGGUUAGGUAAGUUUGAUGUGAAAUCCCCGGGCUCAACCUGGGAACUGCAUUGAAGACUGCCUAACUAGAGUACGGCAGAGGGGGGUGGAAUUCCACGUGUAGCAGUGAAAUGCGUAGAGCUGUGGAGGAACACCGAUGGCGAAGGCAGCCCCCUGGGCCGAUACUGACGCUCAUGCACGAAAGCGUGGGGAGCAAACAGGAUUAGAUACCCUGGUAGUCCACGCCCUAAACGAUGUCAACUAGUUGCUGGUAGGGUUAAACCUAUUAGUAACGUAGCUAACGCGUGAAGUUGACCGCCUGGGGAGUACGGUCGCAAGAUUAAAACUCAAAGGAAUUGACGGGGACCCGCACAAGCGGUGGAUGAUGCGGAUUAAUUCGAUGCAACGCGAAAAAACUUUACCUACCCUUGACAUG
Molecule: ribosomal RNA, 623 nt
Filed under: uncultured bacterium
Lineage: Bacteria
Description: bacterial SSU rRNA
Rfam family: Bacterial small subunit ribosomal RNA
Source: RNAcentral